This 253-nucleotide ribosomal RNA is filed under the name uncultured bacterium. RNAcentral's name for it is "partial 16S ribosomal RNA". It matches the Rfam family "Bacterial small subunit ribosomal RNA", at positions 524 to 776 of the family's 1533-position model. The record is from RNAcentral.
UACGUAGGGGGCAAGCGUUGUCCGGAUUUAUUGGGCGUAAAGAGCGUGUAGGCGGCCAGAUAGGUCUGCUGUGAAAACUCGAGGCUCAACCUCGAGACGUCGACGGAAACCGUCUGGCUAGAGUCCGGAAGAGGAGUGUGGAAUUCCUGGUGUAGCGGUGAAAUGCGCAGAUAUCAGGAAGAACACCUAUGGCGAAGGCAGCACUCUGGGACGGUACUGACGCUGAGACGCGAAAGCGUGGGGAGCGAACAGG